CAGCUUUGUGCUCAGUGCCAGAGAGGCUUCCGGAGGCAGGCAGGGCUGCGUGCAGCCUGGAAGGAUGAGCCAGGCCAGGCGGGAAACGGAAGUCCAGGUAGAAGGGAGGAGCCGAAUUGGGGUACACUCCAUAUGGGCUCAGACAGGUCAGCCUGUGGAAUGAAUAGAGGCCAACAUGCAGGCCAGCCUGGAAUGCGGCAGGAGGGACAAUGGCUUUCCGUUUUUGGGAAUUCUGCCAGUACCUAGAGUGGUGCUUUUUGACUUGGCUUACCUUUUUUCUCAACAUGCAGGCAGCGUCUAUCCCAGACUACCGGGGCCCUAAUGGAGUGUGGACACUGCUUCAGAAAGGGAGAAGCGUUAGUGCUGCGGACCUGAGUGAGGCCGAGCCAACCCUCACCCACAUGAGCAUCACCCGUUUGCAUGAGCAGAAACUGGUGCAGCAUGUGGUGUCUCAGAACUGUGACGGGCUCCACCUGAGGAGUGGGCUGCCGCGCACGGCCAUCUCCGAGCUCCACGGGAACAUGUACAUUGAAGUGAGCAGUCCUGCAGGGACCCGGGGUCUCCACGGGCAGGCGGGUCCCACUCACUGUGCCCUCUUGCCUCUAGGUCUGUACCUCCUGCGUUCCCAACAGGGAGUACGUGCGGGUGUUUGAUGUGACAGAGCGCACCGCCCUCCACAGACACCAGACAGGCCGGACCUGCCACAAGUGUGGGACCCAGCUGCGGGACACCAUUGUGCACUUUGGGG
RNAcentral lists this small RNA (748 nucleotides) under Pongo abelii (Sumatran orangutan). Its description in RNAcentral is "retained intron". Lineage: Eukaryota; Metazoa; Chordata; Mammalia; Primates; Hominidae. The record is from RNAcentral.